AUGUGGACCUGUCUUCGUCAGCGCUAUGAGCCCUCUGGUGAUGCCUUAUACCUUUCUGUGGUUCGUCAGGAGCAUGCUCUUCAGCAGGGUGACUCUACUGUUGAUGACUUUUAUGCACAGAGUUCUGCUAUCUGGCGUCAGCUUGAUUCUCUCCGCAGUGCUGGUUGUCGUACUUGCCCCUGCUGCCAGGCUGUCCAGGCCAAUUUGGAGUUUCAUCGCGUCUACGAGUUCCUGUCUCGGCUCCGUAAGGAGUUUGAGCCCCGACGUGCUCAGUUGUUUGCUCGUGGCCGUAUUUCUCUCAUGGAGGCGCUUUCAGAGAUUCGUGCUGAGGAUACUCGCUUACGUGGUGCUGGUUUGCUGGAGGUUCCCUCUGUGCUCGCUACUCGGGCUUCUUCAACUCCACCUGCUGCACCGGCCCAUUCUCGCUCGAGUGCUCCGCCGCUCUUGCCCACUCCUUCUGGAGGCUUAGGUCGCCCAUGUUCACAUUGUGACUACUGCAACAAUGAUGGUCAUAUUGAGUCCCAGUGCUACACAAAGUAG
Molecule: ribosomal RNA, 540 nt
Filed under: Triticum aestivum (bread wheat)
Lineage: Eukaryota; Viridiplantae; Streptophyta; Magnoliopsida; Poales; Poaceae
Description: partial small subunit ribosomal RNA
Source: RNAcentral